This 406-nucleotide ribosomal RNA is filed under the name uncultured bacterium. RNAcentral's name for it is "bacterial SSU rRNA". It matches the Rfam family "Bacterial small subunit ribosomal RNA", at positions 29 to 417 of the family's 1533-position model. The record is from RNAcentral.
AGCGAACGCUGGCGGCGUGCUUAACACAUGCAAGUCGAGCGAGAAAGGGGGCUUCGGCCCCUGAGUACAGCGGCGAACGGGUGCGUAAUACAUGAGCAAUCUACCCUUGAGGCGGGAAUAACCCAGCGAAAGUUGGGCUAAUACCGGAUAAGACCACAAGAGGAGACCCUAGAGGCUAAAGGCAGCUCUCUUUUGGGGGCGGCCCUUUGAGGAGGAGCUCAUGUCCUAUCAGCUAGUUGGUAGGGUAACGGCCUACCAAGGCGAAGACGGGUAGCUGGUCUUAGAGGAUGAUCAGCCACACGGGGACUGAGACACGGCCCCGACUCCUACGGGAGGCAGCAGUGGGGAAUAUUGGGACAAUGGGGGAAACCCUGACCCAGCGACGCCGCGUGGGUGAUGAAGGCCU